AUAUAGGACUGACUUGAGAUGACAUCCGGAUUGAGCAAAAAAGGGAAUAAGAUGAUUAAGACUCAAACUCAGGAGGAACUAAGGCAGUGGAAGAACUCAGAACAUGUGAAAUUCCUUAAAUAAAAGUUUAUUAACUUUAAAUAAUUGUGCCUAUGUUACAAAUAAUAAAAGUCCUUCAUACUUUUUGUA
Long non-coding RNA from Myotis myotis, 189 nucleotides. RefSeq lists it as uncharacterized. The transcript has 2 exons. The record is from RefSeq and is a predicted model, not a curated record. Lineage: Eukaryota; Metazoa; Chordata; Mammalia; Chiroptera; Vespertilionidae.